GGCUAGGCAGGUGUCUCCCUCCCUCACCACUCCAUGUGCAUCCCUCCCACAGCUGUGUGCUUGGUCGAAGAGGACGACCUUCCCAGCUGGGGGAGGACGUUCUUUGGUCAGGGUAUACCGAGUAGCUGCACUCCCCUGCUAGAACCUCCAAACAAGCUCUCAAAAUGAUGCCCUUUUAUUUUUAGAAACCUUGAACUCAGAAUGUUUUGUGUAGUAACAGAAUAUCUCCCUCUUUAAUUGCCUGUUUAUCAUAGCCUCCAAAUU
RNAcentral lists this small RNA (264 nucleotides) under Dasypus novemcinctus (nine-banded armadillo). RNAcentral describes it as "7SK RNA (ENSDNOG00000029950.1)". It matches the Rfam family "7SK RNA", at positions 73 to 331 of the family's 331-position model. Rfam says of the family: 7SK was discovered as an abundant small nuclear RNA in the mid-70s but a possible function has only recently been suggested. Two independent studies have found that 7SK RNA binds the CDK9/cyclin T complex (known as elongation factor P-TEFb). Lineage: Eukaryota; Metazoa; Chordata; Mammalia; Cingulata; Dasypodidae. The record is from RNAcentral.